Molecule: long non-coding RNA, 3580 nt
Organism: Spinacia oleracea (spinach)
Lineage: Eukaryota; Viridiplantae; Streptophyta; Magnoliopsida; Caryophyllales; Amaranthaceae
Exons: 8
Source: RefSeq, a predicted model, not a curated record
CAAGAUCAAUCCCAUACUUAACAAGGAAGUUGUCUUAAGUACAUGCAGUUGUCAUUUCAUGUGUCCUUCACUCCCUCCCAAUUAAUUGCAAGUUAGUAUCCGUCUUCAUCAUGUCCACUAGUCCAGCCGUCCCUCCUAUAUUCGUCUUCCAAUUACGAAUAUUUUUUUGGUACGUUUUUUUUGUCCUGAAAUACUAAACUCAGGCCCGGUCCUGAUAUUUUAUGGGUCCGGGUGAAUCAUAAGAACAAGGCCUCUUAUAUUGUUAUAAUAUAUAGAGUACAUUACAUAUACUAACUAGGUAAGAUGCUAUGUUUCCUUCAUUUUUUUUUAAUAAUUCAAAGUGAAUAGUACUCCAUCUGUAUUUUAAAAAAAGAUACAUUUUCCUUAAACGACUGUAUUUUAAAAAGAGACACACUUUCCUUUUUUAACAUAUUUUGAUCCUCUCUUCCACUAUGUUAAUAUUUCUCUUUUUCUUGUAGUCCUCACACUUACUCACAUCAUCUUUUUACUAUAAUAAAUAAUUCACACAAUACCCCACUUUCAUCUUAUUUUAAGACAUUCAACUCACUAUCCUAAAAGUAUGUGCCGAUCAAAUUAUAUUUCUUUUCAAAAUACGGAGGGGGUAUAUGUAUUUUAAAUAGAGUGUAAACCCAAAAUAUUUUUGAAAAUAGAAAUAAUAUUAUGUGCUACGUAUUCCCUAAGAAUCAUUUUCCAUAAAUACAAAAUACACUCCAUAUAAAUUUUAAAAAAUCAAGAAGCAAUUAUAUUGGAGAUUUAGAGUCACUAAGAAAAUCACCUAAAAAAUCAAAGACAAAACAACUCUUCUUAUCAAGUUAUCGACAAAAGAAGCACAUGUUAUACUAGUAAUUCUCGUAAGACCAAUAUAUAGUAAUACACUGUUAAGAAGGAAGAUAAAAACAAAAACAAAAAAAACAGUUGGUAAAUGAAUACAAUUAUACAAGACAAAUUAUACUACGGGUCGUGAUAGAGAAUAGAAUUCUCUUUAAUUUGGAUAUAAAUUAUACACUUAUAGUUACAUUAAGUGUAAGAACUAUGACUAAUAAGAACAAUAAUUAGAACAAGCUUAUCUGUAACAAUGUCGUGGCGUGACACCAAUCACUGCCCUAAAGUCGAAUUUGCCCCGCUAAGUACACGCGGACUCGUAGCAACCGACCCCCAGGGAUACACGACUCCAAUCCUUCGGUGUACGACGAAGAACUAGAUUGAGAACACCCUUAAGCAAUGCCCAGAACAAUGGUGGUUUUGUGUUUUCAUUUCGGAGAAGAGGAAGAUAUUAUUUUUCUGUGUGUAUUUAUCUGGAAGGGAAUGUCGUGUUUUAUAGCCAAAACGGUUAAGCUAAAAACGGAAGCACAAUCAAUUAGUCCUUGAUUGAUUCCGUAACUGAAGCAAUAAAUCGGAAUAAUAUCUUUGACGGAAAUCAAAUCGUCAAAGAAAAUCAAUUAACCGUUACGUCAAUCUUGCAAAGAUUACGUGACCAAAAAUAAUAACGGUUAAGAAAAAGGAGCCCCAUCCACACCCGCGAACGCACCGCGCCACUGCCCUCGCCCGGCCCAGCGCGCGUGUGGUUACUAGUCCCACCUCUCUAGUCUUCUAACAAAUCAUUAAAGGGUAGUGGGAUAUUUAAAUAAGGAAGCAUGUGGGUUUUUUAUCAAUGUGGAACAAUUGAGUUUUUAUUCUUUUGAAGCAUCACUUGAAGAGGAAAACUCCAACAUUAAGUAUUCUAAUAUAAUUAGGAUUAAUAUUUGUAACACUAUAAAUAUGAACAAUAUACUCCAAUUCAGGGAGUUUUUGCAAUAUCCAACAGAAUGCUAAACAAUAUGGAAUAAUGCUCCUCUUAAAAUUUAAUGGGCUACAAGCCACAGACUAUGCAAAUGAAAAUAUUCAUUGCAGGAUUACGCUAGCUGUACUGUAAGUAUGCAAUUCCUUAACUUGCAUAUUAGAAUUAAUUAUAUACUUUUGUAUGUUAAUGUAAAAUACAAAAUCAUGUCCUUUAUCAUAUAUUGUUUCAUGGAACAACUUAAUUAACUAACACUAGUUAAAUUGGUGGGGAACUCACCUUAUGACUUAUCUCUAUCAUAUAAAAGAACAGCUGAGGUUAAUAUAGUAAAUUAACUUUUCGUGUCCCCAAAUUAAAUGUCCAAAAUACCCUCCUCAUCUACACAGCUCAUUCAAUCUGAGGAGCGUACAUUCAACCCUUCCUCCCCGUUUUCCUCCCGUUUUCUCUCUCCUUGGAUCUUCUUCGUCUUCCUCAAAUCCUCUCAUCCCGAAUAGAAUCGUCUACCCUUCCUUCGUUCAUUCCCAUCCUCUCUAGCCCUAAAAAAAACCCCAAAUUUCGAAAACCCUCCCCGCAGCAAAACCUCAAUCCCAAACUCUAACCCUAAAUCAAUGUCGAUCAGCUUGAGAAAAGCCACCACUCGGCUACCUUCCAAAGUAAACCGAGUUCUAUAUGUUCGAAAUCUUCCCUUCAACAUCACCAGCGAAGAGAUGUACGACAUCACCAGCGAAGAGAAGUACAGAGCAAUUCGCCAAAUUCAACAUCACCAGAGAAGAGAAGCUUAUGGAAUGCUGUAAAUCUUUAGAGUGUAUCCAUGACUUCUUUUUUUCAGAGUUGAAGAAUGAUCUGGGUUGUCUUCGCAUAAUUGAAUUUUUGAUUGAAUUUUGGGGAUUACUUUCCAGGUGUUUCGUUCGACCAUUCAGAUAAAGAGCUUUUCUGCCUGGUGAAGUGGCGAAUAUGCCGGCGAAAUUGAACCAGUGUAAGCUUGAUGCUCGCCGUGAACAAUGCCUUUCGCAAGAUUGUUUCUAUUGGUGAGACAAUGGAAUCGUUCAUGGAGCUUCAGACUUUUGAAGAUAGGAUUUUGAGGAAAUUGGCAUACUCACAUGUAUGGAAUUCCUGAGAGCAGGUUGCGUAGGUUGUACUAUGGCUAUCAUGAAGAAUGUUUUAAGGUAUCUUCCGUGUAUCAGAUCUCCUUGAUUUUAUUAGUCCUGAUCAUGAUCCUAAGGGCGGAGAUGCUCAGAAGAAACAUAGGUGUUCAAAGGGAUUCUUUUAUGAAGCAUUUUAUGGAGAAAUGAGCUUGAACGAGGAUCACUUCAAACGGAUAGAAGCAGCGGCAACAAAAGGAGGAACUCAAGAAAUCUUACCAUGAGCUUGAAGGGGUCUUCUCCACCCAAGAAAUCAAGAACUCGAGUUCAAUCGAAGAAAACUCUUACUGCAUCAAUGGCUUCAAAGGCAAUUUCCUACAAAGAAGUUGCCAUGUCACCCCCAUGAACUAUCUUCAAGCCUGUGUAGCAGAAGGAAGAAGUAACUAAUGCAGAAGAAAUCCAGAAAGUUCCUGAAACUUCUUACAAAGUAGUCAGUCCAGUAGGACUGAAGGUAACAGGCAUACCAGGCUUCAACACACCAGUCUCAACACGUCCUACAUGCACAGUUCCAAUACCUCCAAUCUAAUAACCUUAAUUUUUUAAUAUGAACUUUGUGAACAUAUUUUUAUCUAAUUUUAUAUUUAGUGGUUGUAAUACAAUUUAAACUUUUUAUAUAAUCCGCACGUAUCGCUUCCUUCUA